UGCAAUAAACUCGUCUUCCCCACAGAGGAAUAGUUUCUCUGCAGAUCCACUUCCCAGCCACAUGGUAAGAAAGCAGGCGAGGCUAUUUCCACGCGUGUUGGAGCAGUCACAGCAGCCAGCAUAGAGACAGCUACUCCGCUCACUGAAGCACAGACAGAACGAAACCUCGGGAGACUUGCCCCUUCGCAUCGAAUUUCAAGUCCGGAAGAACGGAAGGGAGAAAAGCGGGUUCCUGUGCAAUCCCUCAGCACCAGCCCCACGGCCACCACGCGCCCUGCAGUCCCUUGCAGAACCGGCACACGGGAAGUAUCGGAUCUGAGGCACUUUUCCCGAAAGAGUCCGCAGCAAGGUGUUACGGGAUGCACAGUCAGCCGACCUUCAGGCGAGCCUACGUUGCCUGUGCCAGCCCUCACUGAAGGCUUUGGAUGACAAAUACCUGUAAUCACGCCGGGAUUCCCCAGUGCUGCUACUAUCGAAGUUAACAAUGAUGCUUUAUACAGAUACACACAGCCAGAAUUUCUUGCAUCUCAGCUACGUUAUGAGCAGAUUUGAAAUUCCUACUUAUCCUAAUUCCUGCCAACUAUCAGCAGUAUUCUCAAAGCGAUAGCCCCGUUUUCUCUAGUGGAGAGGGCAGACCUUAUACGCAAAGUCAUCUUCAUCAGGUUUGUUGUUAAAUAUUAAUGUCGAAAUUAAGCAAGGUUUAAGCACUGGGCUUUAAGAUUUAUUUUUCAUUACCUCUGCUAUAACAAACCUUUAUUAAUAUGCUGUGAAAUGAGAAAUCUACAGCAUCACUAAUAAAACCUUUUAAGUGGUAAUCCUUCCGAAUCCUCCCUAGUAAUGGCUGAGCAUUUGCAGCCCUAAACCAAUGAAAUUCACACACUCGGCAAUGGAGUGCUGGAGCGAUUAUUACAACAUUUUUUCCAAAGUACCUUAGGCUUUAGAUGAUUAGAGCAUAGUCUUACGUUUUAAACUUUCUGCCAACAGCGAGGCUUUAAGUUGAGUCGGAUUGUGGAUAAAUUGUAGCCUAAUGUACGUUGACAGUUUAAUAACAGGGGUUACUAUCCUUAGUUUGCUUUAUGAUGUAAUACAUCUUUAUAGGAGUCCCCGGAGAGUUCCACUAUGAUUUUCAAGGCAGAGAGAACUCAAUAAACUAAAAUACUCCGAGUAAGGUUUCUAUUUCCUGUAUACUUUGGAAAUUUUCCUGAAAAAUAAAUAGGUGCUACAACUUUUAAAA
Molecule: long non-coding RNA, 1234 nt
Organism: Rhea pennata
Lineage: Eukaryota; Metazoa; Chordata; Aves; Rheiformes; Rheidae
Exons: 3
Source: RefSeq, a predicted model, not a curated record